This 72-nucleotide transfer RNA is filed under the name Prochlorococcus sp. SP3034. RNAcentral describes it as "tRNA-Thr". It matches the Rfam family "tRNA". Rfam says of the family: Transfer RNA (tRNA) molecules are approximately 80 nucleotides in length. Their secondary structure includes four short double-helical elements and three loops (D, anti-codon, and T loops). Further hydrogen bonds mediate the characteristic L-shaped molecular structure. tRNAs have two regions of fundamental functional importance: the anti-codon, which is responsible for specific mRNA codon recognition, and the 3' end, to which the tRNAs corresponding amino acid is attached (by aminoacyl-tRNA synthetases). tRNAs cope with the degeneracy of the genetic code in two manners: having more than one tRNA (with a specific anti-codon) for a particular amino acid; and 'wobble' base-pairing, i.e. permitting non-standard base-pairing at the 3rd anti-codon position. The record is from RNAcentral. Lineage: Bacteria; Bacillati; Cyanobacteriota; Cyanophyceae; Synechococcales; Prochlorococcaceae.
GCCGAUAUAGCUCAGUGGUAGAGCAACUGUCUCGUAAACAGUAGGUCGUUGGUUCAAUCCCAAUUAUCGGCA